Molecule: ribosomal RNA, 229 nt
Filed under: uncultured bacterium
Lineage: Bacteria
Description: partial 16S ribosomal RNA
Rfam family: Bacterial small subunit ribosomal RNA
Source: RNAcentral
CGUGCAGGUGGUUUGGUAAGUUGGGUAUGAAAUCUUCUGGCUUAACUAGGAGAGGUUGCUCAAAACUGCCAGACUAGAGGACGAUAGAGGAAGGUGGAAUUCCCGGUGUAGUAGUGAAAUGCGUAGAUAUCGGGAGGAACACCAGUGGCGAAGGCGGCCUUCUGGGUCGUUCCUGACACUAAGACGCGAAAGCAUGGGUAGCAAACAGGAUUAGAUACCCUGGUAGUCC